UCUUUUUAAAAGCUGUAAGUCUCCAUCGAAAUCUUCUGUUUACAUUGUUGGACAUUGGUGCUAGUUCUAAUUUACAGUGCCUUUUUUGUUCCAACAUAUCACAUUGUACGUCAUGCUGAAGAUAGUCUGUAUAUUAGUGAGAAAAAGUCUGGUUUAUUGCUUACAAUGUUGGCUGUGUCUGCUGCUGUAAGCACAACAACAGUUGGUCUAAUAGCUGACCACCUCACUAUACAAUACAAGAUCAUGUUGCUACAAAUGCUAUUGCUGUUUGGUGGAAUAUCUACUACGCUACUUCUUUCUACCACACAUUCACACUUGUAGCAGUCUAUAUGGCAGCAUAUGGGGUGGCAAUGGCAUUCACAACUCUCGUAUCAGUGAUUACAGUAGCUAUAGUAGGUGAAGAACGAAGCAUACCUGCCUUGGGUAUGAUCACUCUAUAUACAAGCUCAGCAGUCAUUGGCCCGCCAAUUGCAGGUAUCUUGCCUGAUCAUAUGUUUUAUCUGUGCCAGACUACUCUUUUUACUAACACUACGUGUACUAUCCUGAUCUUUAUGUCUGCCCUCCUGUACAUGUUUUGCGUUCAUAAACUGCUAUCUAAUAUUCAGGCUGGAUGGAUGACAGAAGUGGCAAAUACAAUGAUGACAGCUUCCUUGUAUUUGAACUUGCACUUGUGACAGCUCUCCUUCUUAGUCUUUACAAAACAGUCAGAAGAUUACAAGCAAUAUCUAGGCAGCAAAAAAACAGCACACAAUCUGUCACACAACAUCAUGAGAAGCAUAGCCACUUUGAUUCUUUUGCAGUGAUGUCCAGAGAAACAACUGUAGAAGAGAUGACUAAAUCCACUAUAGUGUCUGAGACCAUAUUCUGCAUGCAGAAUGUAAAAAAUAUUUAUGAUUCUUGACAGAUGCAUGUUUAGCAAAUGCUAUGUCAAGAAACUAUUGAAUGUGACAAUUGCAAAUAGCCACUAAGUCAUGUAUUACACUAGUUUAUUAUACUAUAUGUACUUAAUGAAAAGGAAUCUAUUGAACGUUUAAAAGGAAA
Long non-coding RNA from Corticium candelabrum, 1041 nucleotides. RefSeq lists it as uncharacterized. The record is from RefSeq and is a predicted model, not a curated record. The transcript has 2 exons. Lineage: Eukaryota; Metazoa; Porifera; Homoscleromorpha; Homosclerophorida; Plakinidae.